GACGAACGCUGGCGGCGUGCUUAACACAUGCAAGUCGAACGGAAAGGCCCUGCUUUUGUGGGGUGCUCGAGUGGCGAACGGGUGAGUAACACGUGAGUAACCUGCCCUUGACUUUGGGAUAACUUCAGGAAACUGGGGCUAAUACCGGAUAGGAGCUCCUGCUGCAUGGUGGGGGUUGGAAAGUUUCGGCGGUUGGGGAUGGACUCGCGGCUUAUCAGCUUGUUGGUGGGGUAGUGGCUUACCAAGGCUUUGACGGGUAGCCGGCCUGGGAGGGUGACCGGCCACAUUGGGACUGAGAUACGGCCCAGACUCCUACGGGAGGCAGCAGUGGGGAAUAUUGCACAAUGGGCGGAAGCCUGAUGCAGCAACGCCGCGUGCGGGAUGACGGCCUUCGGGUUGUAAACCGCUUUCGCCUGUGACGAAGCGUGAGAGACGGUAAUGGGUAAAGAAGCACCGGCUAACUACGUG
This 468-nucleotide ribosomal RNA is filed under the name uncultured bacterium. Its description in RNAcentral is "partial 16S ribosomal RNA". It matches the Rfam family "Bacterial small subunit ribosomal RNA", at positions 28 to 507 of the family's 1533-position model. The record is from RNAcentral.